RNAcentral lists this ribosomal RNA (234 nucleotides) under uncultured bacterium. Its description in RNAcentral is "partial 16S ribosomal RNA". It matches the Rfam family "Bacterial small subunit ribosomal RNA", at positions 96 to 334 of the family's 1533-position model. The record is from RNAcentral.
CGGCGGACGGGUGAGUAAUGUCUGGGAAACUGCCCGAUGGAGGGGGAUAACUACUGGAAACGGUAGCUAAUACCGCAUAACGUCGCAAGACCAAAGAGGGGACCUUCGGGCCUCUUGCCAUCGGAUGUGCCCAGAUGGGAUUAGCUAGUAGGUGGGGUAACGGCUCACCUAGGCGACGAUCCCUAGCUGGUCUGAGAGGAUGGCCAGCCACACUGGAACUGAGACACGGUCCAG